This 393-nucleotide ribosomal RNA is filed under the name uncultured eukaryote. Its description in RNAcentral is "SSU rRNA". It matches the Rfam family "Eukaryotic small subunit ribosomal RNA", at positions 587 to 972 of the family's 1831-position model. The record is from RNAcentral.
AGCUCCAAUAGCGUAUAUUAAAGUUGCUGCAGUUAAAAAGCUCGUAGUUGGAUUUCUGGUUUGAUGUACCUGUCCCUUGACGGUAACGUCAGUGUGUGACGGAGUAUGUCUGCCAUCCUUCUAGAGAAUGCAGGCUACCCUUUACUGGGCCGGUCUGCAUCAUCUAGAUCUUUUACUUUGAAAAAAUUAGAGUGUUUCAAGCAGGCGUUACCGCUAUGAAUACAUUAGCAUGGAAUAAUAAACUAGGACUUCGGUUCUAUUUUGUUGGUUUCUAGGACUGAAGUAAUGAUUGAUAGGGACAGUUGGGGGUGCUAGUAUUCGGCGGCCAGAGGUGAAAUUCUUGGAUUCGCUGAAGACUAACUUAUGCGAAAGCAUUCACCAAGGAUGUCUUCU